GGGGCAAUGGCUCGAGUGGUUAGGCGACGAAUUGCAAAUUCGGAUCAGGUCGGUUCAAGUCCGGCUUGCCCCUCCA
Molecule: transfer RNA, 76 nt
Filed under: Erwinia phage vB_EamM_Asesino
Lineage: Duplodnaviria; Heunggongvirae; Uroviricota; Caudoviricetes; Chimalliviridae
Description: tRNA-Cys
Rfam family: tRNA
About the family: Transfer RNA (tRNA) molecules are approximately 80 nucleotides in length. Their secondary structure includes four short double-helical elements and three loops (D, anti-codon, and T loops).
Source: RNAcentral